UACGUAUGGAGCAAGCGUUAUCCGGAUUUACUGGGCGUAAAGGGAGCGUAGGCGGCCUGCCAAGUCUGAUGUGAAAUACCGGGGCUCAACCCCGGCCUGCCGUUGAAACUGGCGGCCUCGAGUGGGCGAGAAGUAUGCGGAAUGCGUGGUGUAGCGGUGAAAUGCAUAGAUAUCACGCAGAACUCCGAUUGCGAAGGCAGCAUACCGGCGCCCAACUGACGCUGAGGCACGAAAGCGUGGGUAUCGAACAGG
Molecule: ribosomal RNA, 252 nt
Filed under: uncultured Bacteroidales bacterium
Lineage: Bacteria; Pseudomonadati; Bacteroidota; Bacteroidia; Bacteroidales
Description: partial 16S ribosomal RNA
Rfam family: Bacterial small subunit ribosomal RNA
Source: RNAcentral